This 446-nucleotide ribosomal RNA is filed under the name uncultured Oscillospira sp. RNAcentral's name for it is "bacterial SSU rRNA". It matches the Rfam family "Bacterial small subunit ribosomal RNA", at positions 335 to 797 of the family's 1533-position model. Lineage: Bacteria; Bacillati; Bacillota; Clostridia; Eubacteriales; Oscillospiraceae. The record is from RNAcentral.
UCCCUACGGGUGGCUGCAGUGGGGAAUAUUGGGCAAUGGGCGCAAGCCUGACCCAGCAACGCCGCGUGAAGGAAGAAGGCUUUCGGGUUGUAAACUUCUUUUAUGAGGGACGAAAACAUGACGGUACCUCAUGAAUAAGCCACGGCUAACUACGUGCCAGCAGCCGCGGUAAUACGUAGGUGGCAAGCGUUAUCCGGAUUUACUGGGUGUAAAGGGCGUGUAGGCGGGACUGCAAGUCAGAUGUGAAAUUCCAGGGCUCAACCCUGGACCUGCAUUUGAAACUGUGGUUCUUGAGUGAUGGAGAGGCAGGCGGAAUUCCCUGUGUAGCGGUGAAAUGCGUAGAUAUAGGGAGGAACACCAGUGGCGAAGGCGGCCUGCUGGACAUUAACUGACGCUGAGGCGCGAAAGCGUGGGGAGCAAACAGGAUUAGAUACCCUGGUAGUCAU